AACCUUGAACUUCUUUCAGCUCUUCAAAGUCUUCCCACGGCUAGAAAGAGAUGAAGAGACAAAGACUUAGAUUGGCAGUAUCAUAACACAAAAUUUGAAAUCUCAUGGGAGGCUUAGGUGAUCAAUAACAACAAAUAGGUCUCAUAGUUGUCUUCUUGUAGAAGUAGAAAAGUGGAAAGAACAAGGUUUACAGUUGAGUUUUAGGUGCAUUAAAGCUCAUGUUACAUAUUAGCAUUCUGGUUAACUCAAGCUCUUUCUACGGAAUGUGGCUUAGGUGAUCAAUAACAACCAAAAGUUCUCAUAGUUGUCUUCUUGUAGAAGUAGAAAAGUGGAAAAAACAAGGUUACAGUUGAGUUUUAGGUGCAUUAAAGCUCAUGUUACAUAUUAGCAUUCUGGUUAACUAAAGCUCUUUGUACAGAAUGUAUG
This 426-nucleotide long non-coding RNA is filed under the name Panax ginseng (ginseng). RNAcentral's name for it is "long non-coding RNA (PGIN_LNC015011)". Lineage: Eukaryota; Viridiplantae; Streptophyta; Magnoliopsida; Apiales; Araliaceae. The record is from RNAcentral.